CUACUCUGGAGGCUGAGUCAGAGAAUUGCUUAAACCUGGGAGGCGGAGGUUGCAGUGAUCCCAGAUCGCGCCACUGCGCUCUAGCAUGGGCGACAAAGCGAGACCCCAUCUCAAAAAGAAAAACAAAAUUUUUUUGCAGAGUAUCUACUGUGUGUCAAGUACAUUACCCAAGACUACAAAGAGAAAUACAAUUUAGCUAAUGUCCUCAAGAAGCUAACAGUAUACUAAAAGAGAUAUGUAGGCAUCAAUUAUAGUAAUGACAUAACAUAUUCUAAUAGAGGUAAGUACAUAACACAGUGGGCAUGUCUAGUUGUCUUUGUUUCUGCUGUUAAAACAGAAUAUCACAGACUGGGUGAUGGGUUGAUUGAUUGACUGAUUGAGGCAACUCUGUCACCCAGGCUGGGGUUCAGUGGCAUGAUCACAGUUCACUGCAGCCUCAACCUCCCUGGAUCAAGCAAUCCUCCUGCCUCAGCCUCCUGAACAGCUGGAACUACAGGUGUGAGCCACCAUGCCCCACUAAUUUUUAUUUAUUUAUUUUUUUUUUCUGAGACGGAGUCUCAGUUUGUCGCCCAGGCUGAAGUGCAGUGGCACAAUCUCAGCUCACUGCAACCUCCACCUCCCGGGUUCAGUUUUCCUGCCUCAAUCUACUAGGAUCUAGCUAGGAUUACAGGUGUGCGCCACCAUGCCCAGCUAAUUUUUGUAUUUUUAGUAGAGACGGGGUUUCACCAUGUUGGUCAGGCUGGUCUCAAACUCCUGACCUCAUGAUCUGCCCACCUCGGCCUCCCAAAGUGCUGGGAUUACAGGCGUAAGCCACCGCGCCCAGCUAAUUUUUAAAAAUAUUUUAUAGAGACAGGUCUCACUAUGUUGCCCAGGCUCGUCUUGAACCCCUGGGCCCAGGCGCUCCUCCCACCUUGACCUCCCAAAGUUCUGGAAUUACACAUGUGAGCCAACACACCAGGCCCAGACUGGGUAAUUUAUAAAGAAAUUUACUUCUGCCCACACCGCCCCGCCUCCCCGCGCGAGUGGCUGAGGCGUAGCGCUGCCAUCCCCGCACCCCUGGGAACAUGGCGCUGCGAGUGGUGCGGAGCGUGCGGGCCGUGCUCUGCAGCCUGCACGUGGUCCUGGCACCUGCCGCGCCCUGCCUAUCGAGGCCCUGGCAGCUUGGGAUGGGCGCCGUCUGGUUACUGUAAUCUGCCUGAAGUUGGGACAAAAUUGAACAAACAAGAUGAGUUUGGUGCUUUGGAGAGUGUGAAAGCUGCUAGUGAACUCUAUUCUCCUUUAUCAGGAGAAGUAACCGAAAUUAAUGAAGCUCUUGCAGAAAAUCCAGGACUUGUAAACAAAUCUCGUUAUGAAGAUGGUUGGCUGAUCAAGAUGACACUGAGUAACCCUUCAUAACUAGAUGAACUUAUGAGUGAAGAAGCAUAUGAGAAAUACAUAAAAUCUAUUGAGGAGUGAAAAUGGAACCACUAAAUAAGCUAGUAUGAAAUAACGCAACCCAGCAGAGUUGUCCUAAAUUAGUGGUGGAUAGAAGACUUAGAAUAGCAACUUUUAGCAUUACCCAUGGGAAAAAAAAACUACUGUUAACACUGCUAAUGAAAGAAGAUGCCUUUUAACUUUCUAAUGAUUGUAGAUAAACAUAAUAUGUGUCUUUUUCACAACAUCCUAUGAUUUUUAGACUAGGCUCUAGUAUUCAUGAAAUUAUCCAUGAAAUUAUCCAUGGUAAAAAUUAGUUACAAAAAUUACAUAAUUCAAAGAUAAUGUUGUUAUUCUUAAGCCUUAUAUAAUAUUGUAACUUGUGUAUGUCCAUACCUGGACUUGGGAUGAAAUACUUAAUGAUCUUUCCAUUGGAAAUAACUGGGAGUGAAGAAGUUUUUGUUGCUUGUACAGUGUCAGAUGAAGAACAACACUAUCUUAAUUUUGCAAUACACUGCAUUUGCUGGUGCUGUUUUUAUAUAGUGAAGCAACAGCUGUACAGCAAAAUAAUAAAAUACUCACUUCUUCGUU
This 2004-nucleotide long non-coding RNA is filed under the name Homo sapiens (human). Its description in RNAcentral is "non-protein coding lnc-INO80D-2:16". The record is from RNAcentral. Lineage: Eukaryota; Metazoa; Chordata; Mammalia; Primates; Hominidae.